Molecule: transfer-messenger RNA, 340 nt
Filed under: Gammaproteobacteria bacterium
Lineage: Bacteria; Pseudomonadati; Pseudomonadota; Gammaproteobacteria
Rfam family: transfer-messenger RNA
About the family: Bacterial tmRNA, also known as 10Sa RNA or SsrA, is named for its dual tRNA and mRNA-like properties. Its role is to liberate the mRNA from a stalled ribosome. To accomplish this part of the tmRNA is used as a reading frame that ends in a translation stop signal.
Source: RNAcentral
CCUGGCUUCGACGCGGGUUACAAAACCUGAGGUGCAUGCCGAGGAACAGAAUACCUCGUAAAUCCAUCUGUACAACCCAUAGUUGCCAACGACGACAACUACGCAAUAGCCGCUUAAAAACCGGUGUAUUGCCCUCUGACUGAAGCCGUGUCUAUGCGUUCAGGUUUCAGGGGUCAUCUCUCAUAGAAUCGCGAUGAAACACGUCUGGGGUGGAUUCGUUAAAACUAAACCGGAACCGCCUGUUGUGAUCUUUGCCCAUUAGGUAGCACCAGGUUAAAUUAAUUGAUGGGAUAUGCAUGUAGAGCCAACGGCAGAGGAUUUGCGGACGCGGGUUCGAUCA